Molecule: transfer RNA, 76 nt
Filed under: Armatimonadetes bacterium CG2_30_59_28
Lineage: Bacteria; Bacillati; Armatimonadota
Also listed under: 6 other names
Description: tRNA-Gly
Rfam family: tRNA
About the family: Transfer RNA (tRNA) molecules are approximately 80 nucleotides in length. Their secondary structure includes four short double-helical elements and three loops (D, anti-codon, and T loops).
Source: RNAcentral
GCGGGAGUAGCUCAGUUGGUAGAGCGCGACCUUGCCAAGGUUGAGGUCGCGGGUUCGAGUCCCGUCUCCCGCUCCA